Molecule: long non-coding RNA, 316 nt
Organism: Calidris pugnax (ruff)
Lineage: Eukaryota; Metazoa; Chordata; Aves; Charadriiformes; Scolopacidae
Exons: 3
Source: RefSeq, a predicted model, not a curated record
UCCCCACGUCCCUGUCCCCCCCCCAGGAGACGCUGCGGACGGCGCUGGCGGUGGGGGCCGACCGGGCGGUGCUGGCUGAGGUGGGGGAGGGGGCGGCCCCGGGACCCCGGGAGGUGGCGCUGGCUCUGGCCGGGCUGGUGGGGAGACUGGGACCCGACCUGGUGCUGCUGGGGAAGCAGGCCAUCGAUGACGACUGUAACCAGACGGCGCAGCUCCUGGCCGCCAUCUUGGACUGGCCGCAGGGCACCUUCGCCUCGGGGGUGUCCCUGGAGGAGGGGGGGCUGCGGGUGCAGCGGGAGGUGGACGGGGGGCGGGU